AUUGAACGCUGGCGGCAUGCCUUACACAUGCAAGUCGAACGGCAGCGGGGGAGAAGCUUGCUUUUCCUGCCGGCGAGUGGCGAACGGGUGAGUAAUACAUCGGAACGUGCCCUGGAGUGGGGGAUAACUAGUCGAAAGAUUAGCUAAUACCGCAUACGACCUGAGGGUGAAAGUGGGGGACCGCAAGGCCGCAUGCGAUAGGAGCGGCCGAUGUCUGAUUAGCUAGUUGGUGGGGUAAAGGCCUACCAAGGCGACGAUCAGUAGCUGGUCUGAGAGGACGAUCAGCCACACUGGGACUGAGAAACGGCCCAGACUCCUACGGGAGGCAGCAGUGGGGAACUUUGGACAAUGGGCGAAAGCCUGCUCCAGCAAUGCCGCGUGUGUGAAGAAGGCCUUCGGGUUGUAAAGCACUUUUGUCCGGAAAGAAAUGGCUCUGGUUAAUACCUGGGGUCGAUGACGGUACCGGAAGAAUAAGGACCGGCUAACUACGUGCCAGCAGCCGCCGUAA
RNAcentral lists this ribosomal RNA (508 nucleotides) under uncultured bacterium. Its description in RNAcentral is "partial 16S ribosomal RNA". It matches the Rfam family "Bacterial small subunit ribosomal RNA", at positions 29 to 523 of the family's 1533-position model. The record is from RNAcentral.